GCUACAGCGCGCCGCGGAGGGGAUAAGGUCGCCACGAGCGCGCCUCGGGAUGCCUCCCCUCCCACUCGCUCCUCCCCCUCUCCACCUCGCUCGCUCCGCCUGCCUCACCUCGCCGAGUGCAGUCAGGGCCUCGCCGCCGUAGGAGCCGCGGCCACCGUCCUCCGCAGGCCUCGAGACCCUGCUCAGAAGACGCGUCGCCGUCCGCUACUUCCUCUACGCCCAGGAACGCGAGCUGGGGAGCCCUCCGUCGCUGGAUCGCUUUUGACUUCCUCCCCGACACCGACGAACUCCGUCGCCCCGAUUCGCCGCCCUCCUGCGCUCCUAAGCCCAUCGCCGGCCACCGUGUGCCUCACUGUGAGCCCCACACCUUUUCCCCCUCUCCUAGUUGCCCCGUGCGCUGUAGCCACUUCCCCUGCUCGAGGCCGACGCCGCCGUCCGCCAUGGCGGACGAGCACGUCGCUGCCGUGCCACUUAGCCUCGUCUGUGGAUGCGUGCGUGCUCUAGGAGCUGCGUAGAUGCCGCCUACCACCUCCGUUUGGUCGAUCCGUGGACAUUUUUCUCAGGCUCGUCAUGUCCGAGCUGCCACCAUCGCGAGCAUUCGCCACUGCCGUUGACCCUGUGCAUCACCGUGCCCCCAGUCACCUUAGCUCGAUGCGCGGCUUCGUCCGCAUCCCUCGCGACGCCCCUGCUCAUGUCGCCGAGCCCCUGCCUGUGCGCCCUCGCGUCCACGGCCGCGUCCGGCUGUGCCCUACCAUGCCUCCGCGUGCACCGGCCUGCGCGUGGCCUCACCCACCUGCUCCUGGACGCGCCCCUGUGCCUGCCCACGCUCGCGCGUCCGCCCGCUACCUGUACCUGCUACUCUUGUGCUACUGCCGCUGGCUGUUGCUACCUUGUUGCUGCUACUCUGCUUCCUUCGUUGGUGCUUGCCGUCGCUGCUGCUCCUAGAUGCUGCUGCUUCCUCCUGCUGCCGCUACUAGCUGAUGCUCCAAGCCGCUAGUUGCUGCUACUAAUGGCCUUGGCUGAGGCCAUGGCCGAGCACAAGCUUUGUGCUUUGUGCGUGCACAGCCACCACUGGCCGGCCCUUGCAAAUUAGCUUUGGGGGCUAACCACUAGUUAGUUUAACUACUAGCCAAUGACAGUAGCCCCCACUAUUAGUUAAUAUAAUUUAAUUAAAGUCUAAAUGACCAUAGUCAAUGACACGUGGAACCCGCUUACACUAUUCACUCUUUGACUAUUCAACCUUUGACUGGGUCAACCCAACCCCAUGGCCCCACUGUCAUACUCAUAGGCUGGAGUAACACUAGGUGACAAAAGUAUUUUGCUGUUUUAAUUUCGAAUUAAAAUAAAAAUCCUGAAAUUUCAGAAAAUCUUUUAAACUUCGAAUAAUCAUAUAAAAUAAACCGUAGCUCGGAUGAAAAAAACUUUGUACAUGAAAGUUGCUCAGAACGACGAGACGAAUUCGGAUACGCAGUCCAUUCGUCCGCCGCACACCCCUAACCUAUCGAACCGGCAACUUUCCCCCUCCGGCUCCUCUGCCCAAAAACACGAAACACCGGGGAUAUUUUCCCGGAUGUUUCCCCCCUUAACCGGCAUCGCCUCAUACCAUGUUAGGGCCCGCCUAGCAUCGUUACUUGUCUUGUCAUGCAUCGAUAUGCAUCUAUUUACAUGGUAUUCAUUGUUUCUCCCCCUCCCCCCUUUUCUCUCCGGUAGACUACGAGACCGACGCUGCUGCCGCCCAGUUCNNNNNNNNNNNNNNNNNNNNNNNNNNNNNNNNNNNNNNNNNNNNNNNNNNNNNNNNNNNNNNNNNNNNNNNNNNNNNNNNNNNNNNNNNNNNNNNNNNNNNNNNNNNNNNNNNNNNNNNNNNNNNNNNNNNNNNNNNNNNNNNNNNNNNNNNNNNNNNNNNNNNNNNNNNNNNNNNNNNNNNNNNNNNNNNNNNNNNNNNNNNNNNNNNNNNNNNNNNNNNNNNNNNNNNNNNNNNNNNNNNNNNNNNNNNNNNNNNNNNNNNNNNNNNNNNNNNNNNNNNNNNNNNNNNNNNNNNNNNNNNNNNNNNNNNNNNNNCUCCUCUAUACUCCUUGCAUUAGAGUAGUGUAGCAUGUUACUGCUUUCCGUUAAUCCUAUUCUGAUGCAUAGCCUGACAUUGUUGCUGCAUUUGUUGAUACCUUACCUGCAAUCCUAAAUACUUAGUAUAGGAUGCUAGUUUAUCAUCAUUGGCCCUACAUUCUUGUCAGUCUGCCUUGCUAUACUAUUGGGCCGUGAUCACUCGGGAGGUGAUCACGGGUAUAUACUAUACAUACAUACAUACUAUACAGAUGGUGACUAAAGUCGGGCCAGCUCGAUGAGUACUCGCAAGUGAUUCUGAUGAGGGGGCUGAAAGGACAGGUGGCUCCAUCCCGGUAGAGGUGGGCCUGGGUUCCCGACGGCCCCCGACUGUUACUUUGUGGCGGAGCGACAGGGCAGGUUGAGACCACCUAGGAGAGAGGUGGGCCUGGCCCUGUUUGGCGUUCGAGGAUAUUUAACACGCUUAACGAGAUCUUGGUAUUUGAUCUGAGUUGGCUACGAGCCUAUACGCACUAACCAUCUACGUGGGAGUAGUUAUGGGUAUCCCAGCGUCGUGGUAUCAGCCGAAGCACUUCAGACGUCAGCGAUGGAGCAGCGCGCGCCGGAUUGGAACGUAAGCCUGCUCUUGUAUUAAGGGGGCUAGUUCUGCUUCCGGCCGCCCUCGCAACGUGCAGGUGUGCUAUGGGCGAUGGGCCCAGACCCCUGUGCGCUUAGGUUUAGACCGACGUGCUGACCUCUCUGUUGUGUCUAGGUGGGGCUGCGACGUGUUGAUCUUCCGAGGCCGGGCAUGACCCAGGAAAGUGUGUCCAGCCAAAUGGGAUCGAGCGUGUUGGGUAAGUUGGUGCACCCCUGCAGGGAAGUUAAUCUAUUCGAAUAGCCGUGAUCUUCGAUAACAGGACGACUUGGAGUUGUACCUUGACCUUAUGACAACUAGAACCGGAUACUUAAUAAAACACACCCUUCCAAGUGCCAGAUACAACCGGUGGUCGCUCUCUCUCAGGGAUACGAGGAGGGGAUCGCCAGGUAGGAUUAUUGCUAUGUGAUGUUACUUGGAGGACUUCAACCUACCCUCUUCUACAUGCUGCAAGGCGGAGGCUGCCAGAAGCGUAGUCUUCGACAGGAUUAGCUAUCCCCCUUUUAUUCUGGCAUUUUGCAGUUCAGUCCACCGAUAUGGCCCUUUACACAUAUACCCAUGCAUAUGUAGUGUAGUUCCUUGCUUGCGAGUACUUUGGAUGAGUACUCACGGUUGCUUUUCUCCCUCUUUUCCCCUUUCCCUUCUACCUGGUUGUCGCAACCAGAUGCUGGAGCCCUGGAGCCAGACGCCACCGUCGAUGAUGACUCCUACUACACCGGAGGUGCCUACUACUACGUGCAGCCCGCUGACGACGACCAGGAGUAGUUAGGAGGAUCCCAGGCAGGAGGCCUGCGCCUCUUUCGAUCUGUAUCCCAGUUUGUGCUAGCCUUCUUAAGGCAAACUUGUUUAACUUAUGUCUGUACUCAGAUAUUGUUGCUUCCGCUGACUCGUCUAUGAUCGAGCACUUGUAUUCGAGCCCUCGAGGCCGCUGGCUUGUACUAUGAUGCUUGUAUGACUUAUUUUAUUUGUAGAGUUGUGUUGUGAUAUCUUCCCGUGAGUCCCUGAUCUUGAUCGUACACAUUUGCAUGCAUGAUUAGUGUACGAUUGAAUCGGGGGCGUCACAAGUUGGUAUUAGAGCCGACUGCCUGUAGGAAUCCUCCUUCCACACUCCUUGGCCGAAGUCGAGUCUAGACGUUGCAAAAACUUUUACUAACAUGGCUGUGUGUCCUACGGGCACACGUCGCCAUUGGGUGGUAGUAGGAUCUUUUACUCCUCGACCUUUACUCUGGGACUCUGAUCUCUCCUCUAUUCGGGUUAAAUGAAGUUUACUAAAUCUAACAUUAGGAUCUCGUUAUCACUUUCACCCGGAGAGCCCCUUAUUACCAAUGAUCGUCUGCUGCACCAGAAGACCCUGAAAAUACUCUCCGCUGUUAACCCGAGAACUUGUGUUCAUCACGUUUGCAAUUCACCUUCCACCGCAAACCCUUAUGGAUAACUACUUGCAUUUGUUAUUCUUACCUUCAUCCCCAGUGGUCUUGUUAUUACAAGAUACCCUGAAAAACUCGUCGUGGUUUCGAUAAUCCCUUGAGCUUACUGCCUUGCUGUUCUUGUCACUUGAAUACCCCUACGGUUAAUUCUCGCAUUUAUCGAGUAUCCGCCCAUCCCCCAGUUGUUCAUGUGUUACACAAAAGUCUUCGAAAUACCACCCGAUAUUCUGAAAAUCCUCAGCAACCUAUUGCUUUGGAAUUUCUUGUUUGCUUUCAUUAUGAUUAAUCCCAUAAGUAUAGAAAUCUUAUUGACAUUCCUUGUCAUUAUCAUUUUGAGUCUGUUGACUCAAUAUGUUGCGAAUACACGCAAUCAUCAUUGAUCCUUAUAAAUUACCUUUCCGGCUGAGCUUCCAUUCUUUUAACUGGAAUUGGUUCUCGACCAAUCCAAUUGUCGUUGAUUGUACCCUAAGGCUAUUCAACUUAUCCAUCCCUAAUCAGAGCGUUGCUUUUGAUCCCUUGAUUUGGAAAUCAUAAUUCCUUUGAAUUUGACAAUUGAGUUAGUCAGUUGUUUCUAUAAUCUGAUCUCCUUGCAUUCUUCUUCCUCUAGUUGAGUACCAAUACUCGUAUCAGAUCCUUUGUGGACCAUCAAGUCCUUUGUUGGAUUGUUAUCCGACAGUGUCCUUCAAAUUUGAUCACCUUGUGAGUUCUUCCCCUGAUACAUAAUGCCUUUGUUAAGUUGUAUCCUCUGCUUGGCCAACCAUGCUCUGCUUUUGGGCUUGUGUUAUUUACUCUUGAAACUUGUGGUAUAUGUUUCUAAGAAGCCCCUAUGGGUUGAACAUAUGCCUUCUCUAAACCGUGUGAACCCGAAAGUUUUCACGAGUCAUACUCUUCUGGUGCUUCACCAGAUAAAAUUUCAACACUGCAACUUCAUCGAACAUGAGAAGUGAAUGAAAGGUUAUGCAUUGGAGAAGUGGGAGUCGACCUUGAACUUGUGUUCAUGCCCAUGGACACGAUGUAGAUCUUAUCAUUAAAGCUUCUCUUAAAUAAAUUAUUCCUUUGGUAUAAGUUCAUCUUAUAUCUAGGAUCUGGCCUUUUGCAACCGUGGUUCCGACCAUGAUUGUUCUUCUUUGAUCUCAUUUCUCGGACAAGUUAAAACAAUUGUCUUCUAUGGAUCAAUACACCAGUCCAACCUUUACUUUGAUCUUGUGUCGAGUAUUACCCCCCUGGUAUCUCGAGAUUAUCAUGGAACUGCAUAACCUCUCAUCAGAUCUUCAUCAAGUGCUACAUUUUCACUGAUUCCAAUUUUUCACGGGCUCUGAGUUAUGAAACACUCAAAAACACCGAGAAUUGAACCGAGUCCACAUUACGGUUCAACAACUCCUACUGAUAUUAUUUACUUACGAGUUUGUACCCGAUCAUGUCAUUCCUAGCCUGUUUGGCUAUAUCCUUGUCGUGAUGAUUCUAACUGUGCUACCUGGUCCUUCCCGUAGCACAAUUAUUUGAGGAUGAGCUAAGCUUACGUUGAUCUUCCUCAUCAUAUCAUUUCGCCUUGGGCAACAAGCUUGGUUUCGAGUUUGUGUCGUACCUUUGGUUCCAAUAACCUUUUGCUUUACCAUUCAUUUGACUUGAGGUUAUCGCCGAUCGAUUACAUCUUGAAAUCUCUCGACAAGUGUGUCGUGAUCAUCAUCAACCUCAUGAGCUCUUCCAGGAUAUCAAAUGAGUUCAUGAUGAGAAUACCAUCCUUGCCCUCGAUGAUCUGCGUUAUCAUCGACCACUUUAUUGCCUUCCUGCCAACACAAGCUUAUUCGUGUUUGAUGUUAUACCUUGAGUUCCUUGCUAUCCAGCAAUUGUUCUCCCUUACCUUGGAACAUUAACAUCUCUUAUGUCAUCAAUGUUGUGAGAAUUUCACCACCUCUUAAGAAUUCUUGGUAUGGUGAUACUUCUCACCAUCACCAUUCUUUCUUGGGUCCUCGUGUCGAUCCCAAGCGGGGUACCAACAAGUGAACGAUGCUAUUUGGAUUCUGCACUUCUAGCAACCCUAUUGCUUUGAAGUUAAUGGGCGGUCGUUCAUUCUUAGACUAUUGAUUAUUGAAUCAUCAUUCUGACAUUGGUCGUGCAACCCAACCCAUAUUUUGGGCGCACCUUUCAACCAAUGUUUAAUUGUGUAUGUCUUCCUCGGGCAUACUUCCUUGUAUCAUUUGAUCUGACAAAUGUUAUCUCCUUAUCCACAUAAUUGUGGAGAUCCAUCUUCUUGGAUACCUCGUUGAAUAAAUCGCUGAGUCCAUCAGCCACCUCCUCAUCCUCUUCUUGAUUUAAUGAUGAACCCUUGUUUUGGAACUCGCUUCCAUAGUUCUUUUCCCGAGAAUCUUUGAUGUCAUCUCGUCAUUUUGUGUUGCACCUUUUCUUCUGAGGCAUCCUGGGUCUGAGGUAUCCUGUCACCAAUCAGAUCUGAAUCUCAGUCAGAUAUGAUGGUUGGAACAUAAUUCCAAGAGUUAUAAUGUUGGUCUUUAUAUGACCCGGUAAGGUGAUGUCAUGCCUAGCACACCUGGCCGGAGGACCUACUAUUAUAGUUUCCUUUUUGGCAAGGUUAGUCAUUCUUCCGUGAGGAAAUUGUAAGACUUAUUCUAUAAGUUGUUCCUGAUGGAUCCUUUGUGUAUCCAAAGUCUGAUCUUUGCUUGAAGACCAUGUCAAUGAUAUCUUGAAGCAUGUAUGUGGUACUCCGAUUUUCAAGAAAACAUCUUGAAGCCCAAUUCUAAAUGUUUCUUGCUCGAUUAUCGAAACACCGUUGUAUGGGUAAUGUCGUGGAAUUCCUCUGCCCUUACCUAAAGGGUUUUCUACUGCAUAUCCUGUCAUGGAUAUCGUGCUCUGCUUGUCCUUGGGAAGGAUAUACCCCUGGAAUAUGUGUCUAAACACAUUUUGCUUUCCAUUUUUUUGUUUAGCCUUUCUUGUACUCUGACUUAUCUAAGUAGUGGUAAUUCCCUGCUUAGGUAAACACCUUGGUGUACAACCCUAUCAAGUAUAACCCUGUUACUAUUGUUGAUGUCAUUCCAUUAACAGUCGGUGAACGAGAACCUUGCCUAUUGGUCCACCUCCUUACAAUGAGCAAAAGAAUGUUUCUCUUCAUCCCCGUCCUUCGUACUGACAUUGUUGCCAACAUAGCUAACGGACUAUCCUCUGACAUGCCUUGCUUUCUGUGCAAGAUGUCAUCGCCCUUCCUACUCUUAACCCACAUGGUGGGCCCAUAACCCAUAGUUCCACGGGAUCGAAACCUGACUCUCCUGUACAACCCUGAUUCUAAGGUAUUCUUGGCACUUGACUUCGUGUGUAAUGCACGAGCUAAAUUCUACCAUGUUUCAUCCUGGUAUCAAACACCAUAUUAUUCUCGUUGAUCAAGGCCCCAUUCCGGCUUCUAUAUAGUCAUCAAAUGAUUGCAUACCAGUUUGAAACUUUGGUACCAUCGUAUAUUGCACUCAACGAGUUCACUGAAAUACAACUCAUGGGGUACCUCGUGUAUUUUCCAUUGAGUUCACCGUCAGAUGCCCAACUUUGUGGAGAUGCGUUCUUCCGGAGUUUUUCCCCUUGAUCGCGUUCGUAGGAUGAUGGAGAUCCCGAAGAAAGGAUGGCGACUUGAUCAUGGUGACUUGAAGCAGAGAAAUGAAGACAUCAACGAAAGGGAUCAACCUCUUCGAAAGGGCAGCCAAGACCGAGAAGACUCGUUAGGUUUUCGCUACCAACACUUUUCCCCCCUUACUCCACCGCUUAAAAUCUCGGGAUGAGAUUUCUAGUAGUGGAGGAGAAUUGUGACGCCCGGAUAAUUAAGCUACAGUAAUUCUCGGCUAAUGAUGCCACGUUACUUCGAUUACUGUUACUUCGACUACUGUUGCUAAUCUCGCAUUAGUCCGAAAACCAGUUCAAAUUUCAAAUUUAAAAUAAUGUCAAAACGGUAAAAGUUUUCAAACUUUAAAACUUAAAUGUUCUAGAGGUGCCAGAUAAUGCAUAGGCAAUUAUGGUGAAGAACCCACUUUUUUUUGGAAAUGUUUAAGAACUCUAAAUGAAUACAAAAGUAGCAAAAAACAAUUAUUUGAAUGCUUUUAAAAAACGGCAAAUAUUUAAAUUGUUCUAAAUUAAUUUGAGAAUUUGUGUGUUGCUUUAAAUUAUUACCUAGUAUUUGUGUGCUAAAUAUUAGCUUUAGAUAAAUAUUUUUACUACUAAAGAGAAAUGCAAAUUAGAAAAGAAAAACAACAAAAAAUAAAAAUAAGAAAGCCUCCUGCCCUCUAGGCCUCGGCCCACCCGAGCUGGCCUAGUGGCCCACUCCUACUCCCCGGUCAACUCUCUCCUCCUCCUGUUCCCCAGACCAGAGUCGGCCGCCCGUUCCCACCGAACCACCUCGCCGGCCUCGUCGCUACAGCGCGCCGCGGAGGGGAUAAGGCCGCCACGAGCGCGCCUCGGGACGCCUCCCCUCCCACUCGCUCCUCCCCCUCUCCACCUCGCUCGCUCCGCCUGCCUCACCUCGCCGAGUGCAGUCAGGGCCUCGCCGCCGUAGGAGCCGCGGCCACCGUCCUCCGCAGGCCUCGAGACCCUGCUCAGAAGACGCGUCGCCGUCCGCUACUUCCUCUACGCCCAGGAACGCGAGCUGGGGAGCCCUCCGUCGCUGGAUCGCCUUUGACUUCCUCCCCGACACCGACGAACUCCGUCGCCCCGAUUCGCCGCCCUCCUGCGCUCCUAAGCCCAUCGCCCGCCACCGUGUGCCUCACUGUGAGCCCCACACCUUUUUUCCCCUCUCCUAGUUGCCCCGUGCGCUGUAGCCAGUUCCCCUGCUCGAGGCCGACGCCGCCGUCCGCCAUGGCGGACGAGCACGUCGCUGCCGUGCCACUUAGCCUCGUCUGUGGAUGCGUGCGUGCUCUAGGAGCUGCGUAGAUGCCGCCUACCACCUCCGUUUGGUCGAUCCGUGGACAUUUUUCUCAGGCUCGUCAUGUCCGAGCCGCCACCAUCGCGAGCAUUCGCCACUGCCGUUGACCCUGUGCAUCCCCAUGCCCCCAGUCACCUUAGCUCGAUGCGCGGCUUCGUCCGCAUCCCUCGCGACGCCCCUGCUCGUGUCGCCGAGCCCCUGCCUGUGCGCCCUCGCGUCCAUGGCCGCGUCCGGCUGUGCCCUACCAUGCCUCCGCGUGCACCGGCCUGCGCGUGGCCUCACCCACCUGCUCCUGGACGCGCCCCUGUGCCUGCCCACGCUCGCGCGUCCGCCCGCUACCUGUACCUGCUACUCUUGUGCUACUGCCGCUGGCUGUUGCUACCUUGCUGCUGCUACUCUGCUUCCUUCGUUGGUGCUUGCCGUCGCUGCUGCUCCUAGAUGCUGCUGCUUCCUCCUGCUGCCGCUACUAGCUGAUGCUCCAAGCCGCUAGCUGCUGCUACUAAUGGCCUUGGCUGAGGCCAUGGCCGAGCACAAGCUUUGUGCUUUGUGCGUGCACAGCCACCACUGGCCGGCCCUUGCAAAUUAGCUUUGGGGGCUAACCACUAGUUAGUUUAACUACUAGCCAAUGACAGUAGGCCCCACUAUUAGUUAAUAUAAUUUAAUUAAAGUCUAAAUGACCAUAGUCAAUGACACGUGGAACCCGCUUACACUAUUCACUCUUUGACUAUUCAACCUUUGACUGGGUCAACCCAACCCCAUGGCCCCACUGUCAUACUCAUAGGCUGGAGUAACACUAGGUGACAAAAGUAUUUUGCUGUUUUAAUUUCGAAUUAAAAUAAAAAUCCUGAAAUUUCAGAAAAUCUUUUAAACUUCGAAUAAUCAUAUAAAAUAAACCGUAGCUCGGAUGAAAAAAACUUUGUACAUGAAAGUUGCUCAGAACGACGAGACGAAUCCGGAUACGCAGUCCGUUCGUCCGCCGCACACCCCUAACCUAUCGAACCCGCAACUUUCCCCCUCCGGCUCCUCUGCCCAAAAACACGAAACACCGGGGAUAUUUUCCCGGAUGUUUCCCCCCUUAACCGGCAUCACCUCAUACUACGUUAGGGCCCGCCUAGCAUCGUUACUUGUCUUGUCAUGCAUCGAUAUGCAUCUAUUUACAUGGUAUUCAUUGUUUCUUCCCCCCCUUUUUCUCUCCGGUAGACUACGAGACCGACCCUGCUGCUGCCCAGUUCGACUACGGAGUUGACGACCCCUCUCUCUUGCCAGAGCAACCAGGCAAGCCCCCCCUUGAUCACCAGAUAUCGCCUAUUCUCCUCUAUACUCCUUGCAUUAGAGUAGUGUAGCAUGUUACUGCUUUCCGUUAAUCCUAUUCUGAUGCAUAGCCUGACAUUGUUGCUACAUUUGUUGAUACCUUACCUGCAAUCCUAAAUACUUAGUAUAGGAUGCUAGUUUAUCAUCAUUGGCCCUACAUUCUUGUCAGUCUGCCUUGCUAUACUAUUGGGCCGUGAUCACUCGGGAGGUGAUCACGGGUAUAUACUAUACAUACAUACAUACUAUACAGAUGGUGACUAAAGUCGGGCCAGCUCGAUGAGUACUCGCAAGUGAUUCUGAUGAGGGGGCUGAAAGGACAGGUGGCUCCAUCCCGGUAGAGGUGGGCCUGGGUUCCCGACGGCCCCCGACUGUUACUUUGUGGCGGAGCGACAGGGCAGGUUGAG
Molecule: long non-coding RNA, 10743 nt
Filed under: Triticum aestivum (bread wheat)
Lineage: Eukaryota; Viridiplantae; Streptophyta; Magnoliopsida; Poales; Poaceae
Description: long non-coding RNA (TAES_LNC003329)
Source: RNAcentral